Long non-coding RNA from Canis lupus familiaris (dog), 656 nucleotides. RefSeq lists it as uncharacterized. The transcript is spliced from 5 exons. NCBI's taxonomy places the organism in Eukaryota, Metazoa, Chordata, Mammalia, Carnivora, Canidae. The record is from RefSeq and is a predicted model, not a curated record.
ACCAGCUAGUCAUCGAGGCACCUGCCAUUACAGUAGGAUGAGCUCCUCCUUCCCCAAAUAUGCUGCUUACAACUCACUGGGUAUCGUCGAAUCCUUUGGAUGAACAAAGCAGGCAAAUGAAGAGUGGGGAACAAAAUGGGAGGCCAAGACGAGCAUUGCAGUAGGAGCCAGAUGUGCUAGAAGGAAGGGGGAGAGUCUACAUAUGGGGCCUGGCCUACUCCUGGAUCACAGAUCUUGCCAAAUAGAGUUCAUGCUCCAUUAUCCACUCUAAUGGAAGAAAGUUGGACAACAUAAUUCAAAACAACGGACAACCUUGAAAGUGAGGAAGCAGACUCAGGAAGAUGAAUAACUUGCCCAAAGUUGCAGAGGUAGAGAGGCAGCCUAGAGAUCCAGCUGCCAAUCUGCCAGAUCCCAAAGCUCCUCUCCGGCUUGACCUCCAUGUCCAAGCGCUGGGACAGUGGGCAGGGAAGGCUGUGUCAGUUUCUGGAUCAGAUCUUGGAGGAAACUGCUGUGGCUCCAGCUGGUUGACCACAUCCAGGCCAGAAGGAGAAAGUGGAGAAUCAGAUGCUCCAGCAGAAUCGUGCUUCAUUUUACUGGCCAGAACUGUAUCAAGGGGCUCUGUCAACUGUUACUGAACAGGUGAGCAUUAAAUGAAU